Molecule: unclassified non-coding RNA, 366 nt
Filed under: soil metagenome
Description: partial contains 5.8S ribosomal RNA, internal transcribed spacer 2, and large subunit ribosomal RNA
Rfam family: 5.8S ribosomal RNA (bases 4-120)
Source: RNAcentral
GAUAAGAACGCAGCGAACGUGCGAAACGUAAUGUGAAUUGCAGAAUUCAGUGAAUCAUCGAAUCUUUGAACGCAUCUUGCGCUCCUUGGUAUUCCGAGGAGCAUGCCUGAUUGAGUGUCGUGAAAUACUCUCAAUUUCAAUCUUUUUGUUUGAAAUUGGAUUUGGAUGUUGUUGUGGAUCUUGCUACGACUCAUCCUAAAUGCAUUAGCGAUCUGCCUUGAUCACACACAAUGUGAUAAGAUGAGCAUUGUUAUAAUCAAGUCAUGACUGCUUCUAACCGUCCCUUUGGGACAAACGUCUUAUGUCGUUUGACCUCAAAUCAGGUAGGACUACCCGCUGAACUUAAGCAUAUCAAUAAGCGGAGGA